RNAcentral lists this microRNA (22 nucleotides) under Caenorhabditis elegans. Its description in RNAcentral is "cel-miR-56-3p". Its record names the gene cel-miR-56-3p. Lineage: Eukaryota; Metazoa; Nematoda; Chromadorea; Rhabditida; Rhabditidae. The record is from miRBase by way of RNAcentral.
UACCCGUAAUGUUUCCGCUGAG